UUAGCCUGCUGGUCUUACUGAGUCUAUAGGAACAUUAGCCUGCUGGUCUUACUGAGUCUAUAGGAACAUUAGCCUGCUGGUCUUACUGAGUCUAUAGGAACAUUAGCCUGCUGGCCUUACUGAGUCUAUAGGAACAUUAGCCUGCUGGUCUUACUGAGUCUAUAGGAACAUUAGCCUGCUGGUCUUACUGAGUCUAUAGGAACAUUAGCCUGCUGGUCUUACUGAGUCUAUAGGAACAUUAGCCUGCUGGUCUUACUGGGUCUAUAGGAACAUUAGCCUGCUGGUCUUACUGAGUCUAUAGGAACAUUAGCCUGCUGGUUUUACUGAGUCUAUAGGAACAUUAGCCUGCUGGUCUUACUGAGUCUAUAGGAACAUUAGCCUGCUGGUCUUACUGGGUCUAUAGGAACAUUAGCCUGCUGGUCUUACUGAGUCUAUAGGAACAUUAGCCUGCUGGUCUUACUGAGUCGAUAGGAACAUUAGCCUGCUGGUCUUACUGAGUCUAUAGGAACAUUAGCCUGCUGGUCUUACUGAGUCUAUAGGAACAUUAGCCUGCUGGUCUUACUGAGUCUAUAGGAACAUUAGCCUGCUGGUCUUACUGAGUCUAUAGGAACAUUAGCCUGCUGGUCUUACUGAGUCUAUAGGAACAUUAGCCUGCUGGUCUUACUGGGUCUAUAGGAACAUUAGCCUGCUGGUCUUACUGAGUCUAUAGGAACAUUAGCCUGCUGGUCUUACUGAGUCUAUAGGAACAUUAGCCUGCUGGUCUUACUGAGUCUAUAGGAACAUUAGCCUGCUGGUCUUACUGAGUCUAUAGGAACAUUAGCCUGCUGGUUUUACUGAGUCUAUAGGAACAUUAGCCUGCUGGUCUUACUGAGUCUAUAGGAACAUUAGCCUGCUGGUCUUACUGAGUCUAUAGGAACAUUAGCCUGCUGGUCUUACUGAGUCUAUAGGAACAUUAGCCUGCUGGUCUUACUGAGUCUAUAGGAACAUUAGCCUGCUGGCCUUACUGAGUCUAUAGGAACAUUAGCCUGCUGGUCUUACUGAGUCGAUAGGAACAUUAGCCUGCUGGUUUUACUGAGUCUAUAGGAACAUUAGCCUGCUGGUCUUAUUGAGUAUAUAGGAACAUUAACUAUCAGUCACUAUCCAUGGAAUGCCCACUGCCUUCUAUAUACAGUAUGUAAUGUAUAUUUAAUGUUUGAUCUGAUUUGUUUAAUGAUGGACGAAACAAAAGCUAGUAACAGCAGAGGUCUAUACUGCCCCCUACUGUAGGAACAGCAGAAGUCUAUACUGCCCCCUACUGUAGGAACAGCAGAAGUCUAUACUGCCCCCUACUGUAGGAACAGCAGAGGUCUAU
Molecule: long non-coding RNA, 1351 nt
Organism: Oncorhynchus keta (chum salmon)
Lineage: Eukaryota; Metazoa; Chordata; Actinopteri; Salmoniformes; Salmonidae
Exons: 3
Source: RefSeq, a predicted model, not a curated record